Molecule: small RNA, 84 nt
Filed under: Procavia capensis (Cape rock hyrax)
Lineage: Eukaryota; Metazoa; Chordata; Mammalia; Hyracoidea; Procaviidae
Description: 7SK RNA (ENSPCAG00000020599.1)
Source: RNAcentral
CAAUCUGGAUGCAAACUCUGUCACUGCUGCCAUCACCAGGGUUUAUUUGGCUGAUCUGGCUGGCUAGGAGUCAGUUCCCUUUCU